This 18-nucleotide microRNA is filed under the name Sus scrofa (pig). RNAcentral's name for it is "ssc-mir302". Lineage: Eukaryota; Metazoa; Chordata; Mammalia; Artiodactyla; Suidae. The record is from RNAcentral.
AUGGUGAGUGUGGACGUG